Molecule: ribosomal RNA, 242 nt
Filed under: uncultured Pseudomonas sp.
Lineage: Bacteria; Pseudomonadati; Pseudomonadota; Gammaproteobacteria; Pseudomonadales; Pseudomonadaceae
Description: partial 16S ribosomal RNA
Rfam family: Bacterial small subunit ribosomal RNA
Source: RNAcentral
UAAUGCCUAGGAAUCUGCCUGGUAGUGGGGGACAACGUUUCGAAAGGAACGCUAAUACCGCAUACGUCCUACGGGAGAAAGCAGAGGACCUUCGGGCCUUGCGCUAUCAGAUGAGCCUAGGUCGGAUUAGCUAGUUGGUGAGGUAAUGGCUCACCAAGGCGACGAUCCGUAACUGGUCUGAGAGGAUGAUCAGUCACACUGGAACUGAGACACGGUCCAGACUCCUACGGGAGGCAGCAGGC